AACUUGAAUAAAUCUCAUGAUACCACCAUGCUCUUUGGCAAUCAUUGCAAGCUGUUCAGCUAUAUGGAGGUUGACUUCAUCAAAGCUGUAAUUUCUCGUCUCAUAAUCCCUUCCAAUGAGAUUGAUCACAACAUUAGCUUUAGCCAUCACUGCCUUAACUGAAUUUUCAUCCCGGGGAUUGUAUUUCAUAGGAACAAUCUGUCCUAAGUCACCCAUCAACUUAAGAUGACGAGGAGAAUCCUCAGAUCCACGGAAAGGAACCAAGACUUGACUGCCCAUUUUAGCAAGCUGUUGUACAACAUAACGCCCCAGAAAUCCAGUAGCUCCAAAGACUGUAGCGACGAUUCCACUAACGGAUGAUCUUCCUCCAGUUCCCUUACGAAUUAGAGGUCCCGCACCCCCGGUGGCAAGGUUAGAUGCGUAGCGCGGAGUAAGAUAACCAUAGUAGUGAUCAUCAGAAAGAGGAUAGAGAGACUUGAAUGAUGAAAUGGCAGGCGAAUGAUGUUUCAAAGAUUGGUGCCCUAGUUUUCUCGUGAUGGCCUGCAUCUUCGUUCUCAGCGGAGCUCGAGCUCACAGAGAAUGGGAGAAGAUUGAUUGAUAUCGGCGCUGUUAAGGGAA
RNAcentral lists this unclassified non-coding RNA (618 nucleotides) under Hevea brasiliensis (rubber tree). Lineage: Eukaryota; Viridiplantae; Streptophyta; Magnoliopsida; Malpighiales; Euphorbiaceae. The record is from RNAcentral.